Small nuclear RNA from Ursus americanus (American black bear), 107 nucleotides. Lineage: Eukaryota; Metazoa; Chordata; Mammalia; Carnivora; Ursidae. The record is from Ensembl.
GGGCUCCCUUUGGGAGCACAUAUACUAAAAUUAGAAUGAUACAGAGAAAAUUAACAUGGCCCAGGUGCAAGAAUGACAUGCAAAGUCACGAAGCACUCUAUAACUUU